This 575-nucleotide ribosomal RNA is filed under the name Bacillus subtilis. RNAcentral describes it as "bacterial SSU rRNA". It matches the Rfam family "Bacterial small subunit ribosomal RNA", at positions 56 to 614 of the family's 1533-position model. Lineage: Bacteria; Bacillati; Bacillota; Bacilli; Caryophanales; Bacillaceae. The record is from RNAcentral.
UGCAAGUCGAGCGGAAGAUGGGAGCUUGCUCCCUGAUGUUAGCGGCGGACGGCUGAUUAACACGUGGGUAACCUGCCUGUAAGACUGGGAUAACUCCGGGAAACCGGGGCUAAUACCGGAUGGUUGUUUGAACCGCAUGGUUCAAACAUAAAAGGUGGCUUCGGCUACCACUUACAGAUGGACCCGCGGCGCAUUAGCUAGUUGGUGAGGUAACGGCUCACCAAGGCAACGAUGCGUAGCCGACCUGAGAGGGUGAUCGGCCACACUGGGACUGAGACACGGCCCAGACUCCUACGGGAGGCAGCAGUAGGGAAUCUUCCGAAAUGGACGAAAGUCUGACGGAGCAACGCCGCGUGAGUGAUGAAGGUUUUCGGAUCGUAAAGCUCUGUUGUUAGGGAAGAACAAGUACCGUUCGAAUAGGGCGGUACCUUGACGGUACCUAACCAGAAAGCCACGGCUAACUACGUGCCAGCAGCCGCGGUAAUACGUAGGUGGCAAGCGUUGUCCGGAAUUAUUGGGCGUAAAGGGCUCGCAGGCGGUUUCUUAAGUCUGAUGUGAAAGCCCCCGGCUCAACC